Long non-coding RNA from Gallus gallus (chicken), 1583 nucleotides. The record is from Ensembl. Lineage: Eukaryota; Metazoa; Chordata; Aves; Galliformes; Phasianidae.
AGGGGAGAUCACAGUUUAAAUGCAUUUGGAGUUCUCACCUUACUGUAAUUUACUCUGCAAGGAUUAGAGCCAAUUUCUCUACUUCGGAGCUGUUCUUAGUGUCAAAGCUGACUGCUUUGCAGACUGUUAGAGUUGUGAAGAAAACAUUUAAAUAUAUUGAAUGGGUGUAAUAGAUAACAUCUGCAGAAAAUAUUCCUAAAAGAUGAUGCUGAACUGGUUGCAAGUAUAGUGAAAGUAAUGUAUCUGCCUGCUGCCCCUGAAUAUAUUUUCAUUUAUCCAUCCUGGUCAACCAAAAAAAUCUGUAUCAGGAUGCUUCACACAGAGCAAUAAAAUUAUAUCUGCUGUGAAGAUGGAGCAGGUAGGAUGCAUCGUUCUUCAAAUACUUCUCUGAAUGCUUUCUUAUGAAGGACUCUCCCAGCGCACUGAUGUAGCACUCUUGAUGAGGGUGUCAUUCAUUCUAGCUCAGGCAAUACCUGGAGUAAUACAGACCAGAAAUUUAGGUUCUGUCUUAGCAGUAUAAAUACCAUUAUUUCCACUUAACAAGCAAUAUUGUACAUCGACUUUAACACAGAAAAUUUAUAUAUCAUAUGUUAACAAGGGGAGAUGUUUAGUGUUCUUCAUGUGGUUGUGAUUCUAUUUCAGUUCCAUGGGAAAAUCAACCAGAAAGUCAUCAGGUACUGAUAUGGGGAAUGUAUAUGUCGAAAAAUAUAUGUAUAUAUAGUGUGAAAUGGUCAAAAAAAAUCCUUAUUUCCUGUAUCUCCCACUAUUGAGCUGCAACUGCAUACUCAAGUAUUUUCACAGAUGCUGCUAACAAUAAUUUUGUUCAUAAUCGUGUUUAUCUUAACAACAGAAUUGAUACAUGGAAUUUAUGUGUAUUUAUAUAGUUGACAAGAAUAUUUCCUAAUUUGCGAAUGAGAUAUCUAAACUGAAUUCUGAGGAUUAGCAUGGGCUUGGCUGUAUGCUGUUAUGUUAACAAAGAAACUGUUAAGAUGCGGUGGUGAAAGAGACUAAUGGCAGCUGCUACUUGAGACAAGAUAAAGCCUUUUCAUGUCUAAAAAGGUGUCAAACUCUGCCAUGUUGUAUCAGUAGAUAAAAGGGAAACUGCAGUUAGAAUAUUACUGGGAGUUGUUGCAAACCGAAGUGCUGCUGGUGGAACCUAAACUCAGCGCUAGAUUUAGCGCUUUUCCCCUCAGGAAAGAAAACAACUGUUUCAAGAAAAACAAAAUGAUGACGGGUGGCAGAACCACUCUCACACAGUUCUCUUCCUCCUAUCCAUCACUGUGGCUACUGCCAGUACUGAGCUGAAUUUAAGACUAUAAAUAAAACCACAAAACUUUUAGAAGUUCUAUAAACCAAAGCUUUAUCUUUAUCUCCUGAAAGGAUUUUCCUCAUAGGGUUUGGGGAGACCUUGAUCACCGAGCAUAGCUGGAAAAACAGAUAUCCUUAGAAAAUUUGGCUCAAAGAAAACCAUUGACUGCACUCAUGUACUGAUGGAUAGUUGAAGUGAAUUGGAUGCCUGACUGAAAUACAACAAGCUAGCUUCACGGGUAAUUAUAAUGCACAGUAAAUGUGUUGAAGUAUCU